Coffea arabica (coffee) is the source of this 1891-nucleotide non-coding RNA. The record is from RefSeq and is a predicted model, not a curated record. NCBI's taxonomy places the organism in Eukaryota, Viridiplantae, Streptophyta, Magnoliopsida, Gentianales, Rubiaceae.
GAUGUCUUUCAAGGCCCCAAAGUAAAGGCUCCAAGCGCCUCUCCCCCGCUUUAUAAACGUCUUCCUUCUCAACUUCAACGCUCAAUGCUCUUCUUAUGAACCCCCCUCUCUGUGUCAGUCCAGUGGCAGAAAGAAAGAAUCGUUACUAGGAGUAUUAUAUUUGAUACUUAAAAGAAACCAGACUAAAUUGGACUAUUGUGAUGGAGUUAACCUUUUACUCAAUAAAACCCCAAUUUUUAUCCUUGAGUGAUACGAGUAAGAGGUAUUAUUCGUCACUUUACACUUUGUCUUGUAAGAGUUGUUCAUCUCUUCAGGUAUCUCAGAGCUCUUCUAUCCUUCCUAUGAAGCAGAAAUUAACCCCCAGACCUUUAAGGGUUCGCUCCGAAUAUGAAGCUAAAGUCAAUGGAGCUCUUUCUGCUGACUCUGAUCCUCGUUUUCUUGACCGGCAAAAAGCAUUGGAAACAGCAAUGAAUGACAUAAACAACUCAUUUGGGAAAGGAAGUGUUACAAGACUUGGCGGUGCAGGCGGGGCCUUGGUUGAAACUUUUCCAAGUGGCUGCUUGACAUUAGACAUUGCGUUGGGUGGUGGCCUUCCCAAAGGGAGAAUCGUGGAGAUUUAUGGACCGGAAAGUAGUGGAAAGACCACUCUUGCACUCCAUGCAAUUGCGGAAGUACAGAAGCUAGGUGGUAAUGCAAUGCUUGUCGAUGCUGAGCAUGUUUUUGAUCCAGCUUACUCAAAGGCAUUGGGGGUAGAUGUAGAAAAUUUGAUUGUCUGCCAACCUGAUAAUGGAGAGAUGGCUCUAGAGAUUGCGGAUCGCAUGUGUAGAUCUGGUGCUGUGGAUCUCAUUUGCAUUGAUUCAGUGUCAGCUCUUACCCCACGAGCUGAAAUAGAAGGAGAAAUUGGAAUGCAGCAAAUGGGUUUGCAGGCAAGGCUUAUGAGUCAAGCUUUGCGUAAAAUGUCAGGCAAUGCUUCAAAAGCUGGAUGCACUCUUAUUUUCCUGAAUCAAAUAAGAUACAAGAUUGGUGUAUACUAUGGAAACCCUGAAGUCACUAGUGGAGGGAUUGCUUUGAAGUUCUUUGCAUCAGUUCGACUUGAGAUACGGCCUAUUGGGAAGAUAAAGUCAAGGGAGAUGAAGAGAUUGGUCUUAAGGUUCGUGUACGAGUUCAAAAGAGUAAGGUUUCGAGGCCUUACAAGCAAGCUGAAUUUGAAAUCAUAUUCGGAGAGGGUGUUAGCAAGUUGGGUUGUGUUUUGGAUUGUGCUGAAAUAAUGGAUAUUGUGCUAAAGAAGGGCUCAUGGUAUAGCUAUGCGGAUCAGAGGUUGGGGCAAGGAAGAGACAGAGCGUUACAGUACUUGAAAGAAAACCCCUUACUGAGUGAAGAAGUAGAGAAGAUGGUUCGCUCUGCCAUGGCAGAGGGAGUUGGACACGUAGGCUCAUCUUACAUGAAAUUGACACCUCCACAGCAUGAAGAUGAAGAUAUUUUCCAUGAGAUGCAACGAGAAUGAUGAAAUGCUUCACGUUACAGAGAUCUGGAUGAUUGGAUGGAAGACUUGAGGGCAUAGGUUACAUUGCUCCAUGACAAAACAAUGUGAAUUGGUGCGGUUCACGUCAGUCGGUAAAGGCUUACAGGUGAUGGGGAGAGUAACGACUUGGAGUUCAUGCUCAUAUGAGAUUUGUUUGACAAUGCAGACGUAUUUUGUCAUCAAUUUUGGGGAAGAACAAGUUCAUUUAGUUUAGUACCCUAAUGAGGAAUGUACAGUUUACUGGGACUUGGAGGGCAUUGAGGGGGUGCUGGGAGGGUCACAUAUUGUAAUAUCCAUAUCCUCUUUCCAAAGACAGUUUGAACAUUCGCAUAAAAUUUUUAAUGAUAUUGAGUGAGCAAGUUUUCUUUA